UUUAUAUAUUUUUUUUUUUCCCUCUAUCAGGAUGAACGCUGGCGGCGUGCCUAAUACAUGCAAGUCGAACGAGUUCUCGUUGAUGAUCGGUGCUUGCACCGAGAUUCAACAUGGAACGAGUGGCGGACGGGUGAGUAACACGUGGGUAACCUGCCCUUAAGUGGGGGAUAACAUUUGGAAACAGAUGCUAAUACCGCAUAGAUCCAAGAACCGCAUGGUUCUUGGCUGAAAGAUGGCGUAAGCUAUCGCUUUUGGAUGGACCCGCGGCGUAUUAGCUAGUUGGUGAGGUAACGGCUCACCAAGGCGAUGAUACGUAGCCGAACUGAGAGGUUGAUCGGCCACAUUGGGACUGAGACACGGCCCAAACUCCUACGGGAGGCAGCAGUAGGGAAUCUUCCACAAUGGACGCAAGUCUGAUGGAGCAACGCCGCGUGAGUGAAGAAGGCUUUCGGGUCGUAAAACUCUGUUGUUGGAGAAGAAUGGUCGGCAGAGUAACUGUUGUCGGCGUGACGGUAUCCAACCAGAAAGCCACGGCUAACUACGUGCCAGCAGCCGCGGUAAUACGUAGGUGGCAAGCGUUAUCCGGAUUUAUUGGGCGUAAAGCGAGCGCAGGCGGUUUUUUAAGUCUGAUGUGAAAGCCCUCGGCUUAACCGAGGAAGCGCAUCGGAAACUGGGAAACUUGAGUGCAGAAGAGGACAGUGGAACUCCAUGUGUAGCGGUGAAAUGCGUAGAUAUAUGGAAGAACACCAGUGGCGAAGGCGGCUGUCUGGUCUGUAACUGACGCUGAGGCUCGAAAGCAUGGGUAGCGAACAGGAUUAGAUACCCUGGUAGUCCAUGCCGUAAACGAUGAAUGCUAGGUGUUGGAGGGUUUCCGCCCUUCAGUGCCGCAGCUAACGCAUUAAGCAUCCGC
RNAcentral lists this ribosomal RNA (910 nucleotides) under Lacticaseibacillus paracasei. RNAcentral's name for it is "bacterial SSU rRNA". It matches the Rfam family "Bacterial small subunit ribosomal RNA", at positions 1 to 872 of the family's 1533-position model. The record is from RNAcentral. Lineage: Bacteria; Bacillati; Bacillota; Bacilli; Lactobacillales; Lactobacillaceae.